CUGCAGUUGCUUUGGAAGCAAUAUCAAACGCGUUCUCGAGCAAGUAUGCUGGCGCUCAGAUUUUGUACAGCUCUUAUCCUCGUUUUCUUGAGCAUCAGGAAAACAUAUUCGUUUAAACCCAAGGACCUGCGUGAUGGUUGUAACACCACUGAUCUCAAAAGGUUUUGGAACACAACAGAGCCUAUAUGGACCGUUACUACAGCAGACACUGCGAAUUCUACCCUUUCUUGUCUAGUAGACGUCAAGGAAAAUGACACUGGAAGUUACACAUAUUUCCAAAGAUCUCACUACGUCUCAAGCACACAAGAGAAGACGACUGUUGAGUUCAAGGGUUCUGUUUCUCCAGGAAACAACUUUGAUCGAUCAGCCAUGCUACUUGAUUAUACAAAUGGCACACGGUAUGCCACGGAGCAGUUGCUGUACGAAAGUUCCGAUAGCAGCUGUGGUGUCAUUAAGUUCUUUCAGCACCCCGGAGUAACCAGACUUGACCUACGAGUGAGAAAUUCUUCGCUCGAAACGGGACGCCAAACUAUUUGCUUCCAAUAUUUUCUUGCAGUGUAUGACUAUUACAAAACCACGUAUCCCUACCCGGAUAUUAAGAAUAGGACACUCUAUAAUUCUUCAUGUCAAGCAAUACUUAAAUCACCUCACAAUGGAUGUUAACCGACAUAAUCAUUACACUUUAGUAUGUUUCACAGAACAGGAGCCUGGGACUAACGUUUUUCGCGAUUAUCAUGACUUUUCAUUCUUUUUCGCUUUCGUUUCUGACUUGCGCGAUACCGCGUACAUUAUGUAGUAUUUCGUGCGCCAUCGAAACAAUUUCUUUUUUUUUUAGGGCGUUUCUGCUCUAUUGGUUUCCUUUCUCCAAAUUUCAGCGAUGAUUUUACGGCUCUGCCAACCUUUUUCACUUUACUGUUUUUGCAUAAGGUAUACUCCCUUAGUUUAAUGCAUAAUUGAAGGGGAAUACGAAUCAAGUACUCCAAUGUGCAAGAGUAAUUAAAAGCUGAAGCUUCUUUUCA
Molecule: non-coding RNA, 1019 nt
Organism: Dermacentor albipictus
Lineage: Eukaryota; Metazoa; Arthropoda; Arachnida; Ixodida; Ixodidae
Source: RefSeq, a predicted model, not a curated record